This 435-nucleotide long non-coding RNA is filed under the name Homo sapiens (human). RNAcentral describes it as "HSALNT0300203". Lineage: Eukaryota; Metazoa; Chordata; Mammalia; Primates; Hominidae. The record is from RNAcentral.
UCCAUGUCAGGCUUUGUUCUCUAGCGGAUUGUCCUUCUUACUCUUCCUGGAACGAAGGCCUGCAUCGAGCCAUUUGCACUGAUGCUUCCAAAGAGGAGGGUCCCAAAGCUGUAAGAGAGAAAACUACUUGAGCAGAGGCCCCAGCUGGGCUGGUGGCCCCGAGGCUGACUGCGGUGUGUGCUCCUCCCUCAGGAGGCCAUUGCCUUGCUUGACAUCUCCUGGGCAAGUCUCCACAGAACCUCUUAUCAAACUCCAAAGUCAUCUUCUUCCACACGUUGUGCUAUUAGAGAUUAGAGGAGUUAAUGUAGGUGCAGCUUCCUCACAGAAAAUGCAAGACACACAAGGGCUGCUUUCAGCAUUCUGCUUGAUCGUGCACAGCUAGACGCAGAGCACUCAGGAGCACACAGGAGGGUAAUAAAAAUCACAUCCACCAUG